CGCAUCUGUGCAUGCAGCAUAUCAAUAAGCGGAGGAAAAGAAACUAACAAGGAUUCCCCUAGUAACGGCGAGUGAAGCGGGAAGAGCUCAAAUUUGAAAUCUUAAAGGGUUUCCCUUUACGAAUUGUAGUUUAAAGAAGUGUUUUCUGUUGAGGUUUUGGUAAAAGUUCUUUGGAAUAGGACAUCAUAGAGGGUGAGAAUCCCGUAUUUGACCUUUACUUUCAACUUUGUGAUACACUUUCAAAGAGUCGGAUUGUUUGGGAAUGCAGUCCAAAAUGGGUGGUAAAUUUCAUCUAAAGCUAAAUAUUGGCGAGAGACCGAUAGCGAACAAGUACCGUGAGGGAAAGAUGAAAAGAACUUUGAAAAGAGAGGUUAAACAGUACGUGAAAUUGUCAAAAGGGAAGCGUUUGACACCAGUGUUGUUUUUCUGAAAAUCAAUUAAAGAACUGUUUAUGCUAAGCUGUUUAGACUUUAUCAGCUAUCUGUUUAGUUUUGAGCUUUUCUUUAAUGCACUUUUCAGUUAACAAGUCAACAUCAAUUUCUUUUGCUGUAAAAAAGCUUGAGGAAGGUGGCUUGAGAUUCGUCUUAAGUGUUUAUAGCCUCUUGCCUAUGCAGUCGGAGAGAUUGAGGUCUGCAGCGUAGAUCCUUCGGGGCUAAAUGCAUUUGUGCUAAGUUAUAGCAUUUUAUAGACAACUUGUUGACUAUGAUUUGUCUUGUAGCUUACUCGCUUAUGUUAUUUUACCUACGCUUAGGAUGUUGAAUCUGUGCGAGACUAC
RNAcentral lists this ribosomal RNA (775 nucleotides) under uncultured Neocallimastigales. Its description in RNAcentral is "partial large subunit ribosomal RNA". It matches the Rfam family "Eukaryotic large subunit ribosomal RNA", at positions 26 to 644 of the family's 3401-position model. Lineage: Eukaryota; Fungi; Neocallimastigomycota; Neocallimastigomycetes; Neocallimastigales. The record is from RNAcentral.